UACGGGGAGGCAGCAGUGGGGAAUUUUGGACAAUGGGGAAACCUGAUCCAGCCAUCCCGCGUGUGCGAUGAAGGCCUUCCGGGUUGUAAGCACUUUUAGCGGGAAAGAAACGGCGCAGGAUAUUACCGUGCAACUGACGGCUUACCUGCAGAAUAGCACACCAGCUAACUACGUGCCAGCAGCCGCGGUAAUACGUAAGUGCAAGCGUUAAGUCGAAUUACUGGGCGUAAAGCGUGCGCAGGCGGUUCGGAAAGAAAGAUGUGAAAUCCCAGAGCUUAACUUUUUGGAACUGCAUUUUUAACUACCGAGCUAGAGUGUGUGUCAGAGGAGGUGGAAUUCCGCGUGGCAGUGAAAUGCGUAGAUAUGCCGGAGGAACACCGAUGGCGAAGGUAGCCUCUGGGAUAACACUUUGACGCUCAUGCACGAAAGCGUGGGAGCAAACGGGAUUAUAGAUACCCUGGUAG
This 464-nucleotide unclassified non-coding RNA is filed under the name uncultured Bordetella sp. Its description in RNAcentral is "partial 16S-23S ribosomal RNA intergenic spacer". It matches the Rfam family "Bacterial small subunit ribosomal RNA", at positions 340 to 793 of the family's 1533-position model. Lineage: Bacteria; Pseudomonadati; Pseudomonadota; Betaproteobacteria; Burkholderiales; Alcaligenaceae. The record is from RNAcentral.